GGAAUAUUGGACAAUGGGCGAAAGCCUGAUCCAGCAAUGCCGCGUGAGUGAUUAAGGCCUUAGGGUUGUAAAGCUCUUUUACCCGAGAUGAUAAUGACAGUAUCGGGAGAAUAAGCUCCGGCUAACUCCGUGCCAGCAGCCGCGGUAAUACGGAGGGAGCUAGCGUUGUUCGGAAUUACUGGGCGUAAAGCGCACGGAGGCGGCUUGUUAAGUCAGGGGUGAAAGCCCGGGGCUCAAACCCGGAACUGCCCUUGAAACUGGGAAGCUAGAAUCUUGGAGAGGCGAGUGGAAUUCCGAGUGUAGAGGUGAAAUUCGUAGAUAUUCGGAAGAACACCAGUGGCGAAGGCGACUCGCUGGACAAGUAUUGACGCUGAGGUGCGAAAGCGUGGGGAGC
RNAcentral lists this ribosomal RNA (394 nucleotides) under uncultured bacterium. RNAcentral's name for it is "bacterial SSU rRNA". It matches the Rfam family "Bacterial small subunit ribosomal RNA", at positions 358 to 769 of the family's 1533-position model. The record is from RNAcentral.